UGGGGAAUUUUGCACAAUGGGGGAAACCCUGAUGCAGCGACGCCGCGUGAUUUAGAAGGCCUUCGGGUUGUAAAAAUCUUUUGUAUGGGAAGAAAAUGACAGUACCAUACGAAUAAGGACCGGCUAAUUCCGUGCCAGCAGCCGCGGUAAUACGGAAGGUUCGGGCGUUAUCCGGAUUUAUUGGGUUUAAAGGGAGCGUAGGCCGUUUGGUAAGCGUGUUGUGAAAUGUAGGAGCUCAACUUCUAGAUUGCAGCGCGAACUGUCAGACUUGAGUGCGCACAACGUAGGCGGAAUUCAUGGUGUAGCGGUGAAAUGCUUAGAUAUCAUGAAGAACUCCGAUUGCGAAGGCAGCUUACGGGAGCGCAACUGACGCUGAAGCUCGAAGGUGCGGGUAUCGAACAGG
This 403-nucleotide ribosomal RNA is filed under the name Verrucomicrobiota bacterium. Its description in RNAcentral is "Verrucomicrobia bacterium partial 16S ribosomal RNA". It matches the Rfam family "Bacterial small subunit ribosomal RNA", at positions 355 to 776 of the family's 1533-position model. The record is from RNAcentral. Lineage: Bacteria; Pseudomonadati; Verrucomicrobiota.